AGGCUUUCCUCCUCUUCUCCUGCCCCUGCCCCUCUUCUCCCGCUGCUGGAGCUGGACGCUGCCCGCCUGUUCCCUGGACCUAGGCCGGACUGGGUGGUGCAGAUGGAGGACUACCUGGAGGAGCGCAAGAAGGACUGGGAGGACAGGACAAGGUCAAGUGAGCCACAGAGGCCAUUUGCUCCCCAAAGACACAAGUACUCCUUUUAUUUUAAGAACUGAUCCUCUUUCUGUUUGUGUUUCAGUCACAGAAGAGGAUCUGGAGUCUUGCUGUUAAGGGUGACACAUCACUUGUUAAACAGCAAAUGCAAACAACAAAACAAAAAAACAUUAUUAUUAUGCUGUACAUAGUUUGGUGUGAACAAUUUUUAAAUAGGUUUUGUGUGGUGUAAUUUUUAUGUUGUAAAUAGUUUGUUGUGUGUUUUAAUGUGAACAUUUUUAAAUAGGUUUGUGUGGUGUAAUUUUUUAUGUUGUAAAUAGUUUGCUGUGUGUUUCAGUGUGAACAUUUUUAGAUAGGUUUUGUGUGGUGUAAUUUUUAUGUUGUAAAUAGUUUGCUGUGUGUUUUAAUGUGAACAUUUUUAAAUAGGUUUUGUGUGGUGUAAUUUUUAUGUUGUAAAUAGUUUGCUGUGUGUUUUAGUGUGAACAUUUUUAGAUUUCAUUUUAAGCUCCUUAGCUAGGCUCUUGCACCUUCUCCAUGGAUAAAGGAAAAACAAACAGUGGGAAAACAUGAAAAGGGAUGAGGAAAAUGUUGGAGUGAUAAAACAAUAUACAGUACAGUGAGAUGGGCCUUUACAGUGCAGACUGUGGAGAGGAGGAGUGGAGGAGGAGGAGGCUUAAAUCCAUAUUGUCAUACAAAAUACAGGUACACUGGAGACGAGUAUGAAUUGUAUUUGUCCCUCCUCCGACUAUAUUGUACAUUUGCACUUGGUUUUCAUAGGGACAGAAAUGGGACACGUGUCAAAGCAAAGAAGCCAAUGUGAAAAGAACACAAGAUCAUACAGUAUGUCUGGCUCUUUUGGACAUUUGAGGAUUCAGUGGGAAAUCAAGAUAUGCACAGGGCCUCUUGUUCCAGAGCCCUCCCCGAGGUCCGGGCUGGGUCUGGAGGGCUGCUGAGGUCCUGGGGUGGGACUGUCGCGUGUCCAGCUCAAGAGACAAAGCACCAUGGCCUGUGUUCUCUCCAUGCUUCUCCACGACGACCCGUGUGCUGUGCACCAACCUGCAGGAAACACCUCUGAUGUCCCCUGUAUCCCCGAGUAACAGCCCCUCAAAGUGACAAAAAAAGAAUAUACAGUACAGUGAGAUGGAACUUUAGACUGCAGGCUGUGGAGAGGAGGAGGAUUCUAUCCAUGUUAUACAAAAUACAGAGUCUGCCUGAGGUCCAGGCUCAGGUCGUGUGUCCAGCUCAAGAGACAAAGCACCAUGGCCUAUGUGCUCUAUAUUCUGCAUGAGGACCUGUGUGCUGUCCACCAACCUGCAGGAAACACCUCUGAUGUCCCCUGUAUUCUAGAGGAACAGUCUCCGAAGCAACACUGAACCGAAACAACACGUGUGGCAACUGAAUGACAGCACACAUUUUUCCUGUUGUUUGGGACUUAAAAACAGGACUGUAUGACAAAUAUAUUGGACAAAAUGCUUCCAACAUUAGGCAAGUGUGAUCCUGCAGAAAGAGAGGAGGGAGGGAAAACACUGAAGGUAACAAAAGCAAAGAAUAUUUAGUAGAGUGAGAUGAACCUUACAGUGGGGGCUGUGGAGAGGAGGAGUGGAGGAAGGAGGCUUAUAUCCAUGUUGUCGUACAAAAUACAGGUCCAGGCUGGGUCAGGAAGGAGGCUGGUGUCCUGAGGUGGGACUUCAGUGUGACUAACUCACAACAGUGAGAUAGUACUGUGGAGAGGAGGAGGGGAGGAAGGAGGCUUAUAUCCAUGUAUCUUAUAUCCAGGGACAGAAAUGGAAGGCCACUGCCAAACGUGUCAGUGAUAUUCAGGCUUUAUCGGUGCCUCUGUCUUGUAUGCGAUUCAGCUCUAUUAAUCUCCGAGUGACCCUGCACCCCAUUUCGGCCUUUAUUGCAAAACUGGCUGACGCCUGUAAGUGGAUGUGGACACUUUUCAGCCACCUUCCCACACUUCUGCUGAGCAACAGCAUUCACACAGGUUGUGCCCUGUCCGAGCGGCGCAUGGCAUCCUUUACCAACACUGUAAUGCUACACAACACAGUGAACACAAGGCCCUGGGAAACCUGAACAUUUUCCUUAAACACCAUAAUAUUCAGGAGUAGGACCAAGCCUCAACCUCCCCCUGCUCCUCUCCAGCAAACCAAGCUCAGCUCAACCACACCUUCAAUUACCCAAAAGCCCUAUUUAUACAGGCCUAUCCCAACAACACCGCCUGUCUCUGCUCUCUCGACCCCCCUCCCUCCCACCCCGUACCUCUCGUUCAUCCUUCAGCCUGAAGACCUCAUAAUCUACAAAGGGAGGGUCCUAAAUCGGUCCGGCUGACCACCUGAGACAGAGCCCCCAUCCAGAGUCUCCUCCCAGCCAUCACAUCUCGCCAUCGUCAAGAAAUAUCUUUACCAUAUUCCAUUGUUGUGACGUGGUCCUUGCUAGUGAAAUACAACUGUGUGUCUGAAUAUGAAGACUUUCUGUCUGAUAUUAAGUCACGUGUCAACCGCCCCAGCCUAAACUUGACCUCAACAAGCUGAUAAGA
Boleophthalmus pectinirostris (great blue-spotted mudskipper) is the source of this 2696-nucleotide long non-coding RNA. RefSeq lists it as uncharacterized. The transcript is spliced from 9 exons. The record is from RefSeq and is a predicted model, not a curated record. NCBI's taxonomy places the organism in Eukaryota, Metazoa, Chordata, Actinopteri, Gobiiformes, Gobiidae.